This 79-nucleotide transfer RNA is filed under the name Acinetobacter phage vB_AbaM_ME3. RNAcentral's name for it is "tRNA-Tyr". It matches the Rfam family "tRNA". From Rfam's summary of the family: Transfer RNA (tRNA) molecules are approximately 80 nucleotides in length. Their secondary structure includes four short double-helical elements and three loops (D, anti-codon, and T loops). The record is from RNAcentral. Lineage: Duplodnaviria; Heunggongvirae; Uroviricota; Caudoviricetes.
UGCAGAGUAGCUCAGUCGGUAGAGUAUUGUAGGCAGUAAAAUCCCUACUGUUGUCGGUGGUUCGAAUCCAUCCUCUUGU